CGCGGGUGCCGUGCUGAGAGCGCCUGCCUGUGCGCCCCGAGCGGGGCUGGGACUCUUCCAAGAUGCCCACGUUCGCACAGAGACCCCGGAUCGCGGAAGCUCGCGUCUCGAAAGGCCUCCCCUCCAGCGUGGGGAGGCCUAAGUACCUCAAGGUUCAGGCCCACGGAAGGAGUCGGGGGAGCGAGGCCCGGUGAUCUACGUGUGAAGGAGCUUGGACAGGACCUCACAAACGCCAGGGAGACGGCGAGGGGGUUCGUGCGUUUGUAACGUCUUGACAUCGCUGAUCCUCCCGCAGGCGGUCUCACGCCCUGCCCGUCCUGGGUUCACGGUUUUUCAUCACCUGCGGCUGUCCUGCGAUCGACCACAGCUGUGCAGGAGGGGCAGGAGGUAUCUGUUGCUGCAGUUACCGGAACCUUUGCCAGGACUAGUACAGGACCACGGGCUGGUAGCUCAGGGAUGUCUCGUCUGUGAGUUACAGCUGCACGCUCUCCAGGAAAGAAGGAAUUUCCUCUUCUCUGGAAACCCCACCACACAGCUGGUUUCUCAUUGGUGCUGCUUGCCCAUUCCCUGAGCUGUGACUGCCAGAGGAGUGGGAGGUUGGUGGUGCCUCCAGCCCAUCAGGGGCAGGCCCUGGGACCGCCUGGGAACAGGAGGACUAUGGCACAAACCGAGUGAGUGAUGGGAGCAACCCGCAGGGCUCUGCCACAUCCCUGUCUUCCUUCACUGACAUGAAACGCAGAAAAGGCAGCUUUGCCACAACACAGGAGCACGCACCGAAUGUGGCCGCCCAGGGCUCUGUCCUUGACCCUGUUGUCCAGGACUGUUUACCAAGGGCUGACAGGCACUGAGUGCCCCGUGCACCUGGCCAGACACUGCACUCAUGCAGCGGAAAGGACAGUGAACGAGACUUUGUCCCUGGCCUCCAAAGGCUUAGGGCGUAGUGGCUGUCAUGAGGCACAGUGACAAGGGCCAGGAGGGGGACCUCUUAGGGGGCCAUGCAGUGAUGGAAGCCAGAAGGAAUGAAGGCCUGCAGUGAGGAUGGAGUGGUCGGCCUGAAGCCAUCUCUAGCAAGUGGUCAGGACGCUGAUUGUUCUGCGCAGGUUGGAGGUAGGUGGUGAGUCUGAGAAAGGGGCCGGAAAGACUCCCCAGCAACUGCUGGCAAAGGGUGAAGGGCACGUUCCCACAGGAUUCAAGCCAGCUGCCUUUGGAGGGGAGACGGGCACUCAGUUUAGGCGCUCCUACAGCAGGGUCAGCAAGACAAGCAGGUUGCGGCAAGGGUCUGCGCACUGCUGUGUAAAUGUAGGGGCAUCGGGGGGCAGAAAGACCAGGGGAGAAGUGUGCAUCACCCUUGGGGUUAAGGGACAGUUGUCUGCUAGGUGUUGCUUCCUGGAGAUGGCUGAAAAGCCAGUCCAGUCUGCAGGGACCAGGCCACCACCCACCUGAUGUGGGAGCAUUUCCCCCAAUCCCUGCUGGGCUGCUGAAUCUGGGGGACAUAGGGAAGCUGAGGCUGGUGUUCUGAGUAGUGGCAGAGCUGAGCCACAGGGCAUGUCUGAGGUCAGCCCCGAGCAAAAUGGAAUAGGGACUCAGGGUGGGUCAGGUAACUGGAAAGCGGGCACUGUGCACGCAGCCCUUGAGGGGAGCCAGGGUGGGUGGGGAUCCCCCACUGUGUGCAGAAGGCAGCAGCCUUGGAAGCAGGGUGUGCUCCUCGGUGUGGUCGCUCGAUACCAGAAAAUGACUCUAAAAACUGAAGAGUGUUUGAGUUUCAUUCACACAAAACAUGGACAUCAUCUGUGAGGCUCUGUCCCAGAGAGACAGGGCCAUCCCUCAUGUCUGUUAUUGGGUU
This is a long non-coding RNA of Homo sapiens (human), 1843 nucleotides long. Ensembl annotates it as MRPL20 antisense RNA 1. Its record names the gene MRPL20-AS1. Lineage: Eukaryota; Metazoa; Chordata; Mammalia; Primates; Hominidae. The record is from Ensembl.